Molecule: long non-coding RNA, 1067 nt
Filed under: Parus major (Great Tit)
Lineage: Eukaryota; Metazoa; Chordata; Aves; Passeriformes; Paridae
Description: lncRNA (ENSPMJG00000000318.1)
Source: RNAcentral
CUUAAUGGAAAUUUGGGACUAAACUAGCACAGAGACAAGAGUAAAUUAAUAUAAAACUGUCAGCUGAGUGAAGGGAUUCAGUCAGGGAUCCAGUUCAGGAAAAAGUCCAAAAUUCCUACUAUGUGAAAAUGGUGAAAUUAGUGUCACUUACAUUCACCCUGUUCCUUCUCUUCAGGUUCUGAAAGUUCAUCAUCACAUGUAUGUGGACACAAAAGAAAUGCCCAUUUGGAAUUAAGUUAAUGCAGAAGUUCUGACAGCUGAUAAACUGUGUGGCUUUAUACCCCAGGAAACCUGAAAGUGGAAAGCUGGCAAGAAACAGAUGUGCUCUUGCUAGGAUAUCAUUCUCCAUCCCAAAUGGACAAUACAAACAUACAAAAAAAAGCAAGAGGCUGUCAUGACACAUGGAGAACUUGGUAAACGACAUGCAGAAGCUCUCUUCAGAAAGGAGGCAGGCAGCAGCUUUCCAGGUUGGUGCCUUUGCUGCGUGCAGCAGCUGCCCCUCUUUUUCCCCACUGAGACACCUGAUUGCAGCCCCAACCUCAGCAGCAGGACAGACAUCUGAGCAUCUCAGGUGAGCUGUGGGGUCUGUGGUGGGUGCACUUAGGCUGUCAUUAGUAAAUUAUUUAUGUCAACAAAAUUCUGUCAGGUACAAACAGAAAAAAGGCUAAAAAAUGAAAAGUCAAUGCUUCUUGUUAGAGACCCACAAAACAUGAAUUUUGGUUUCAGUUCAGCUUUUGGGUUUCAGAACCAUGCCUAAUGACCUGAAUAAUGCAUUAACUUUUGCCCUGUAGGUAGAUCUAAAAUCCAAACUUGCUACUCAGGAGGAAGCACUGCAACUGAAAAAUCGAGAUACUGAAGCUUUGAUUGCCAUGAUAGGGUUUCAGACUGAGAAACUGAGCCAAGAAAAGGCCAUUGCAGAUGCAGACGAGCUAAAGGUGUAUUGUGAGAGAGAACCAAAAUAUUGUGUGCUGGCUCAGGCUAACACUGAAUUAGCAGCAGCUACAGGAAAACUAGAAGUCAGCAGGAAAAAGUUUCUUUCCAAAAACCUGUUGGAGACAGUCCAUUGA